UGGGGAAUAUUGGACAAUGGGGGCAACCCUGAUCCAGCAAUGCCGCGUGUGUGAAGAAGGCCUGCGGGUUGUAAAGCACUUUCAAUUGGGAAGAAAAGCUGAAGGUUAAUACCCUUCAGUCUUGACAUUAUCUUUAGAAGAAGCACCGGCUAACUCCGUGCCAGCAGCCGCGGUAAUACGGAGGGUGCAAGCGUUAAUCGGAAUUACUGGGCGUAAAGCGCGCGUAGGCGGUUUAGUAAGUCGGAUGUGAAAUCCCCGGGCUCAACCUGGGAAUUGCAUUCGAUACUGCUUAACUAGAGUAUGGUAGAGGGAAGUGGAAUUCCGGGUGUAGCGGUGAAAUGCGUAGAUAUCCGGAGGAACAUCAGUGGCGAAGGCGACUUCCUGGACCAAUACUGACGCUGAGGUGCGAAAGCGUGGGGAGCAAACA
Molecule: ribosomal RNA, 427 nt
Filed under: uncultured bacterium
Lineage: Bacteria
Description: bacterial SSU rRNA
Rfam family: Bacterial small subunit ribosomal RNA
Source: RNAcentral